GAGCUUAAAUGUAUGCGAUGAAAAGGUUCAAGUUUGGGGUUGUAUGAGGGAAAAUUGAGAAGAGCAAAUGAAAAGCAUUGAGCUCGAAUGUUGUGAAAAGAAAAAUUCAUGAGAAAAAGAAAAGAAAAGAAGAAAAGCAUGAAGAGGAGCUCAAUGAAAAAGAAAAAGGGAAAAAGCGGGGAAUAAGUGAGAUUGGUGAGGAAGAGAGUUGUGCUUAAAUUGUUGAAUAUUUUGAAAGCUCUCUUAACUCAAGGACUUUGUAUUCCGGAAAAACCAAUUUUUCUUGUUAGCUCAACCUCAUUACAAGCCUUGAAAAAGUCCUUUUGAUGGCAUGUACAUGUA
RNAcentral lists this long non-coding RNA (342 nucleotides) under Vigna radiata. RNAcentral describes it as "long non-coding RNA (VRAD_LNC015969)". The record is from RNAcentral. Lineage: Eukaryota; Viridiplantae; Streptophyta; Magnoliopsida; Fabales; Fabaceae.